CAAGGCGACGAUGCGUAGCCGACCUGAGAGGGUGAUCGGCCACACUGGGACUGAGACACGGCCCAGACUCCUACGGGAGGCAGCAGUAGGGAAUCUUCCGCAAUGGACGAAAGUCUGACGGAGCAACGCCGCGUGAGUGAUGAAGGUUUUCGGAUCGUAAAGCUCUGUUGUUAGGGAAGAACAAGUGCCGUUCAAAUAGGGCGGCACCUUGACGGUACCUAACCAGAAAGCCACGGCUAACUACGUGCCAGCAGCCGCGGUAAUACGUAGGUGGCAAGCGUUGUCCGGAAUUAUUGGGCGUAAAGGGCUCGCAGGCGGUUUCUUAAGUCUGAUGUGAAAGCCCCCGGCUCAACCGGGGAGGGUCAUUGGAAACUGGGGAACUUGAGUGCAGAAGAGGAGAGUGGAAUUCCACGUGUAGCGGUGAAAUGCGUAGAGAUGUGGAGGAACACCAGUGGCGAAGGCGACUCUCUGGUCUGUAACUGACGCUGAGGAGCGAAAGCGUGGGGAGCGAACAGGAUUAGAUACCCUGGUAGUCCACGCCGUAAACGAUGAGUGCUAAGUGUUAGGGGGUUUCCGCCCCUUAGUGCUGCAGCUAACGCAUUAAGCACUCCGCCUGGGGAGUACGGUCGCAAGACUGAAACUCAAAGGAAUUGACGGGGGCCCGCACAAGCGGUGGAGCAUGUGGUUUAAUUCGAAGCAACGCGAAGAACCUUACCAGGUCUUGACAUCCUCUGACAAUCCUAGAGAUAGGACGUCCCUUCGGGGGCAGAGUGACAGGUGGUGCAUGGUUGUCGUCAGCUCGUGUCGUGAGAUGUUGGGUUAAGUCCCGCAACGAGCGCAACCCUUGAUCUUAGUUGCCAGCAUUCAGUUGGGCACUCUAAGGUGACUGCCGGUGACAAACCGGAGGAAGGUGGGGAUGACGUCAAAUCAUCAUGCCCCUUAUGACCUGGGCUACACACGUGCUACAAU
RNAcentral lists this ribosomal RNA (969 nucleotides) under Bacillus amyloliquefaciens. Its description in RNAcentral is "bacterial SSU rRNA". It matches the Rfam family "Bacterial small subunit ribosomal RNA", at positions 269 to 1231 of the family's 1533-position model. Lineage: Bacteria; Bacillati; Bacillota; Bacilli; Caryophanales; Bacillaceae. The record is from RNAcentral.